AGCAAACGUGCCUGAUCCAAAGGGUUUUCCUGAUACGAAAAACAUGCAACCAUGCCUUUGCUU
This 63-nucleotide transfer RNA is filed under the name Linguatula serrata. RNAcentral's name for it is "tRNA-Ile". The record is from RNAcentral. Lineage: Eukaryota; Metazoa; Arthropoda; Ichthyostraca; Porocephalida; Linguatulidae.